UACGUAGGGGCCUAGCGUUGUCCGGAAUUAUUGGGCGUAAAGAGCUCGUAGGCGGUUCGGCAAGUCGGAUGUGAAAUCUCCACGCUUAACGUGGAGGGGCCAUUCGAAACUGCUGUGACUCGAGUCCGGUAGGGGAGUGUGGAAUUCCCGGUGUAGCGGUGAAAUGCGCAGAUAUCGAGAGGAACACCUGCGGCGAAGGCGGGUAGCUGGGCCGACACUGACGCUGAGGCGCGAAAGCCAGGGGAGCGAACGGG
Molecule: ribosomal RNA, 254 nt
Filed under: uncultured bacterium
Lineage: Bacteria
Description: partial 16S ribosomal RNA
Rfam family: Bacterial small subunit ribosomal RNA
Source: RNAcentral